UUCUUGAAACUCACAAAUUUUGGCGGUGCUUUAGAUCCGCUUCNGAGGAACCUGCCCCGUAAUCGAUAACCCACGUUAUACUUAACUUAAUUUGGUUAACAGCUUAUAUACCGUUGUCAUGAGGUCCCACUAGUAAUUGGAGGCCGGGGUAUUGUAUGAAAUAGUAUGUCAGAUCAAGGUGUAGCUUAUAAUUAAGGGGAGGUGGGUUACAAUAGGUUUAAUUUAUGGAAUCUGGCCUGUAAUUGGUUGGGUGAAAGAGGAUUUGAAGGUAAUCAGCUGUAGAAAGGGCAGAUGAAGGUGGCUCUAAAGCAUGCACACAUCGCCCGUCGCUCUUAACAACC
Molecule: ribosomal RNA, 341 nt
Filed under: Mirawara sp. BYU IGCEP093
Lineage: Eukaryota; Metazoa; Arthropoda; Insecta; Ephemeroptera; Ameletopsidae
Description: partial 12S ribosomal RNA
Source: RNAcentral